UACGAAGGGGGCUAGCGUUGCUCGGAAUCACUGGGCGUAAAGCGCACGUAGGCGGCUCUUUAAGUCAGGGGUGAAAUCCUGGAGCUCAACUCCAGAACUGCCCUUGAUACUGAGGAGCUUGAGUCCGGGAGAGGUGAGUGGAACUGCGAGUGUAGAGGUGAAAUUCGUAGAUAUUCGCAAGAACACCAGUGGCGAAGGCGGCUCACUGGCCCGUAACUGACGCUGAGGCACGAAAGCGUGGGGAGCAAACAGG
This 253-nucleotide ribosomal RNA is filed under the name uncultured bacterium. RNAcentral describes it as "partial 16S ribosomal RNA". It matches the Rfam family "Bacterial small subunit ribosomal RNA", at positions 524 to 776 of the family's 1533-position model. The record is from RNAcentral.